RNAcentral lists this ribosomal RNA (319 nucleotides) under Staphylococcus aureus. RNAcentral's name for it is "bacterial SSU rRNA". It matches the Rfam family "Bacterial small subunit ribosomal RNA", at positions 1 to 308 of the family's 1533-position model. The record is from RNAcentral. Lineage: Bacteria; Bacillati; Bacillota; Bacilli; Caryophanales; Staphylococcaceae.
UUUUAUGGAGAGUUUGAUCCUGGCUCAGGAUGAACGCUGGCGGCGUGCCUAAUACAUGCAAGUCGAGCGAACGGAUGAGAAGCUUGCUUCUCUGAUGUUAGCGGCGGACGGGUGAGUAACACGUGGAUAACCUACCUAUAAGACUGGGAUAACUUCGGGAAACCGGAGCUAAUACCGGAUAAUAUUUUGAACCGCAUGGUUCAAAAGUGAAAGACGGUCUUGCUGUCACUUAUAGAUGGAUCCGCGCUGCAUUAGCUAGUUGGUAAGGUAACGGCUUACCAAGGCAACGAUGCAUAGCCGACCUGAGAGGGUGAUCGGC